This 483-nucleotide ribosomal RNA is filed under the name uncultured bacterium. RNAcentral's name for it is "bacterial SSU rRNA". It matches the Rfam family "Bacterial small subunit ribosomal RNA", at positions 28 to 511 of the family's 1533-position model. The record is from RNAcentral.
GAUGAACGCUAGCGGCAGGCUUAACACAUGCAAGUCGAGGGGUAUAGGUUUUCGGACCUAGAGACCGGCGCACGGGUGCGUAACGCGUAUGCAAUCUACCUUUUGCAGAGGGAUAGCCCAGAGAAAUUUGGAUUAAUACCUCAUAGUAUAUGGACUUCGCAUGGAGACCAUAUUAAAGUUCCAACGGCAAAAGAUGAGCAUGCGUCCCAUUAGCUAGAUGGUAAGGUAACGGCUUACCAUGGCUACGAUGGGUAGGGGUCCUGAGAGGGAGAUCCCCCACACUGGUACUGAGACACGGACCAGACUCCUACGGGAGGCAGCAGUGAGGAAUAUUGGACAAUGGGCGCAAGCCUGAUCCAGCCAUGCCGCGUGCAGGAUGACGGUCCUAUGGAUUGUAAACUGCUUUUUACACAGGAAGAAACAACGCUACGUGUAGCGUCUUGACGGUACUGUGAGAAUAAGGAUCGGCUAACUCCGUGCCAG